RNAcentral lists this long non-coding RNA (793 nucleotides) under Solanum lycopersicum (tomato). RNAcentral describes it as "long non-coding RNA (SLYC_LNC001055)". Lineage: Eukaryota; Viridiplantae; Streptophyta; Magnoliopsida; Solanales; Solanaceae. The record is from RNAcentral.
GGCAACAUAAAUAAACAAAAAAUAUACAUCAAACAAUUAUGUUAACAAAAGCGUGAAAACAAGAUGAAGAAGAAUCACAGGCAACAGACCUAAUUUGUUCAAAGAUAACAGAAAGCAGACUAUGGUGGGCCACAAGCAGACUAAGGUGGGCCACAACAUGAUGAAAAUCUUAACCACUUGUAGCAACAUUUGAAGCUCAAAUGACACGAGGAUGUCAAGAGUAGAGAUGACUAUUUGAGUCAGAUACCCAAGAAAGCUUGAUGAGAGAAAAAAUUGCAUAAAGCUUCCCACAAGGAAAAAUAAACACAAAACGUUACAUUUGUCUUACACAGAUGUGCUAUAUGUUCUCUCCUCUCACUGGAGACGGGUGGGUAUUGAGAUGAUUGUUUAAAAUGUUACAAUCUAAAGUCAAUUAUUUUACUAUUUUGCAGGCGUAAUAUGAUAGAUGAUGAAAAUAAAGAACCAUAAAAAGAAAAGACACGAAUUUGGAAUCAAUGAAAGUGAAAUUUAGCAACAAAAGGAAAUUCAAUUAAUCACCAGCAACAAAACUAGGAUUUCACACCAACCCAACCAAUUGCUUUUAGGCUGACGGUUUUCCUUCAGUAUUCGUACCAUACUCUUCAUCACCCUCAUUUCCAUUAACGAGUACUGCUCCAUCAGUAGAGUCAGCAUCCACCACAACAGCUUCUUCUUGGCCCUCUUGUUGAAGGUCAUCUUCACCCCGUUCUUCUUGGCCCUCUUGUUGAAGGUCAUCUUCACCCCGUUCUAGCACCUCAUCACCAUUCAGUUCUGC